Molecule: ribosomal RNA, 454 nt
Filed under: uncultured bacterium
Lineage: Bacteria
Description: bacterial SSU rRNA
Rfam family: Bacterial small subunit ribosomal RNA
Source: RNAcentral
AACGAACGCUGGCGGCAUGCCUAACACAUGCAAGUCGAACGAAGCCUUCGGGCUUAGUGGCGCACGGGUGCGUAACGCGUGGGAAUCUGCCCUUGGGUUCGGAAUAACAGUUAGAAAUGACUGCUAAUACCGAAUGAUGUCUUCGGACCAAAGAUUUAUCGCCCAAGGAUGAGCCCGCGUCGGAUUAGCUAGUUGGUGAGGUAAAGGCUCACCAAGGCGACGAUCCGUAGCUGGUCUGAGAGGAUGAUCAGCCACACUGGGACUGAGACACGGCCCAGACUCCUACGGGAGGCAGCAGUGGGGAAUAUUGGACAAUGGGCGAAAGCCUGAUCCAGCAAUGCCGCGUGAGUGAUGAAGGCCUUAGGGUUGUAAAAGCUCUUUUACCCGGGAUGAUAAUGACAGUACCGGGAGAAUAAAGCCCCGGCUAAACUCCGUGCCAGCAGCCGCGGUAAAU